ACUAGAGGGAGGAAUGGUUUCUCCGACGACAAGGCACACGUGUCGGAGACCCAUAUGGUCGAUGAUUUAAGAUGGCUAAAACCCUCUACGACCACUUUGAAAGUUAGAGACAGAGAUUCUAGGUCAGAGCUAGAAGCUCUUUCAACCCUAAGUUGGAUUGAAUGAGUCAAGUCUCCUGCGAGCUGAAACACUGCGUGUGUGUCAGACUCGGCAAAGUCGUGGGACUCCGGAAGCUCGCAUAUCCACGACCAAGGAUCCAUUUUCUUGAACUUGUUUUUUUCUCUCGGGACAAUGUGUGUGUUUGUUAGAUGGGGUAAAGUGGGAGAUAAAAUUUCUUUAGUGAGUAGCGGAAGUGACGAACUAUAUAGAGAGAGUAUGUGGUGGAGGAGAAACUAAUCAAAAACCCCUCAGAGGAGCAGACACGGAUGAAUAGUAUAUCUGUGGCGCUACAAUAGCCUCAUUAAUGAGAUAGUCUUGUUUUCUUGUUUGGAUAUUUGGCUAAUAAAGAACCACGACCACUUCUUUUUGCAUGGAGGAAGGUUAAGGAAGGGACGUGGAGUUUUAACGUUUUCUCGCUUGUGGCAUAGCUACGUGUUGCAUGAACUAGAGCGAAUACGUACAUUCUUUUUUGAUCACAGAAAAUAGGGAUGGAUGAUAUAUAUAUUUUUAAAAUAUAUUUGAUUGGAAACAACACCGUUAACAAUUUUCAUUGAUAAACAUAUCGAAUUCCUAUUUUUUGUUUCGUUGAAACAUAUUGAUUACCUUACAAAGAUUCGAAAUGGUAACUACCAAACGCACAUUUUGUCAAAAACAAAAACUACCAAAACAUGCAAGUAGUAUGAAAUUAUAACGCUCCGACCGCCCACAUGGGCCAUCCACGCCCGCUCACUCGGUCUGUGGACUCCAUCCUGUUCCAACGGUCGGUGCAUUAAUUUUUCAAAGUCCGAAAGUCUUGUUUACUGACUAUGCAAUCACCACAUGAUUUUUCCCCGUGCUUUGGUCUCAUUCGCAAGGUAUCACGAAUCAUUUCCCGAUAGGUCAUCCAUCCUUUCACUAUUCCAGUCCAAACACACUUAACUCUGAAGUUCUAAACGGAUGUGUGACCUUGAAGGAGCAGGAGAACUAGAGGGAGGAAUGGUUUCUCCGACGACAAGGCACACGUGUCGGAGACCCAUAUGGUCGAUGAUUUAAGAUGGCUAAAACCCUCUACGACCACUUUGAAAGUUAGAGACAGAGAUUCUAGGUCAGAGCUAGAAGCUCUUUCAACCCUAAGUUGGAUUGAAUGAGUCAAGUCUCCUGCGAGCUGAAACACUGCGUGUGUGUCAGACUCGGCAAAGUCGUGGGACUCCGGAAGCUCGCAUAUCCACG
RNAcentral lists this long non-coding RNA (1368 nucleotides) under Brassica napus (rape). Its description in RNAcentral is "long non-coding RNA (BNAP_LNC013716)". The record is from RNAcentral. Lineage: Eukaryota; Viridiplantae; Streptophyta; Magnoliopsida; Brassicales; Brassicaceae.